Molecule: ribosomal RNA, 504 nt
Filed under: Bombus argillaceus
Lineage: Eukaryota; Metazoa; Arthropoda; Insecta; Hymenoptera; Apidae
Description: partial 16S ribosomal RNA
Rfam family: Bacterial large subunit ribosomal RNA
Source: RNAcentral
GGCUUAUUGAUAAUAAUUUUAGGUCGAUCUGCCCAAUGAUUAAUAAUUAAAUGGCUGCAGUAUAUUUGACUGUACAAAGGUAGCAUAAUCAAUUGUUCUUUAAUUAAGAUCUAGAAUGAAAGAAUUAAUGAGAUAUAUACUGUCUCAUAUAUAUAAAAUGAAUUUAAAUUUUUGGUUAAAAUGCCAAAAUUAAUUUAUGGGACGAUAAGACCCUAUAGAAUUUUAUAUUGAUAUAAAAAUUAGACUUAUUAAUUUAAUUUUUAUAUUAAUAUUUGAUUGGGAGGAUUAGUAAAUUUAAUAAACUUUAUUUUAAAUUAAAACUUUGAUUUAAGAAUUUUUUAGAUCUUGUAUUAUAAAUAAAAAGAAAAAAUUACCUUAGGGAUAACAGCGUAAUAUCUUUUUAAAGGUCAUAUUAAUAAAGAUGUUUGCGACCUCGAUGUUGAAUUAAGAUAAAUUUUAGACGAAGAAGUUUAAUGAUUAAGUCUGUUCGACUUUUAAAAUCUU